CCUACGGGAGGCUGCAGUGGGGAAUCUUGCGCAAUGGGCGAAAGCCUGACGCAGCGACGCCGCGUGGGGGAGGAAGCUCUUCGGGGUGUAAACCUCUGUCGGGAGGGAAGAACGGCCAUCUGAGGAAAUGCAGGUGGUUUGACGGUACCUCCAAAGGAAGCACCGGCUAACUCUGUGCCAGCAGCCGCGGUAAUACAGAGGGUGCGAGCGUUGUUCGGAAUUACUGGGCGUAAAGCGCGCGCAGGCGGCCCUUUAAGUCCGCUGGUCAAAGACCG
Molecule: ribosomal RNA, 275 nt
Filed under: uncultured bacterium
Lineage: Bacteria
Description: partial 16S ribosomal RNA
Rfam family: Bacterial small subunit ribosomal RNA
Source: RNAcentral